AAAGCUACACGAGCAGUUUUUGUUUCUCUCCGAGAAAAAGAUGAAGCUGCGGCGUGCGUCCGUUCGCUCUGCUUUUCCUCUUCACUGGCCUGUGCGGAGGACUCCGUGUUUAAGGCCUUGCUUGUUACUUCUAAUUGAUUUCUUUUCAUGUGCUUGUCUUUCUCACCAGGGCAGUGGAGUGUUAAACGGCCCCGGCAAGAGUGGCUCCCCCUCACAUGCGCUCACUGCCAGCCAAACCAAAUUGUACUUUAACUCCAGGAAAGAUGAAAUGCUGCCUCUCAUGAGGGUUGCUGUCUAUCCGGCAUCUCGCCGACAUUUAUGGAAGAAGAACUCGGCAUUGCGUGGCUUCCGCUCGACUGACAAGCUCUGAAAAACGCAACGACGGAGCGUGCCACCUGAUCCGUGACAAAAAGCGUCCAUUCUUUCUGAUCGGGCCGUGGGAACGUAUACAGUGUUGAAAACUGUCAACGUCAAUCUGAUUUAACCUCUGAAACCCCAAAGCCCAACGGGGACACACUUUCUGGUUGACACCUUCCGGAUGUUGAUAUGAUGUGUAGCCACAUUUUUUUUCCCAGGAUCUGAUAAAUUGAUAAAUGCCAUUGUGGGUCUCUAAAGAACAAAACGACUGCUGUGUGAGAAGAGAAAUCAGUACUGUUUACAGAGAUAUGAUGGCUGCCUCCCUCUCUUCAGACCAACAUUAAAGUGAAGGUGGCCUGGGGAUCUCUCUCUCCCCCUCUCUUUCUCUCUCUUUCUCUCUCUCUCUUCAUCUGUCUAUCAGCCCGUAAGCCAGCCAUGGAGAUGAAACACAGAACACACUCGUCUUUAUGGGCCCCUAUGAGCAGCCAAAAAGAUCUGCAGGAAAAACGGCCACUGCUGCCACCACCACCACCACAACAACAACAACACUGGUGACAGUUCAGCCUCAGGAUAACAAGACUUUAUAACCUCAUGAAGAGACUGUCUGAUCAUCCGGCCUGAUCUUUAUGAUUCAGACAGAAGGAAAGAGAAGCCCAAGAAGAGAGGAAGGGUACCUCUGAGAGACGCUGAGGUUAUAUAUGUUUGUCUCGUACCACAUACACACCUGCUGCUCGUGUCCCUCCUCACUCCAUGAACUCAAAGGAAGGAGAAUCCAGAAAUGUCCUGCAGAGAACAAAAAAAAAAUGAACAAUUCGGAAUAGAAACCUUCGGAGACAGUGGCUCAGUUAGUGCAGUGAUGCAUGGAAUAGUGAAAAUGAAACAGACUGAAAAUGUCUUAACUUAUGAAUGAAUCAUUCUGAUUCAUUCGUUUUAUGAACUGGAUCAAACGAUUCAUUGAAAAGAUCCAACUCAGAUGAAUGAUUCCUCCAAGAAUUGGGACAAUGCUGUUUCUUAGCUAUCAUAAUGAGUAUAGCACAUAAUUCAUAUAUGGACCACUUUUAAAAUACAUGUAUAGUGCUUUUUUAUUUAUUUAUUUUAAUUGAAAGCCACUAGAAUGUUCUUAACACAAAUGUAUCAUUUAUUUUUUAGAAUAAAAUAAAAUUUGUAUUUUUUAUUUAUUUAUUUUUUUUAAAUGUCACGAAAACAAAUGUAAAUGUUUCCUUAAAAGAAGCAUCACCAAAGGAAGAGGUUAAUUUGAAUGAAUAUAUAAUUAUACAGAAUGUGUGAAUUAUAAUA
Molecule: long non-coding RNA, 1653 nt
Organism: Megalobrama amblycephala (Wuchang bream)
Lineage: Eukaryota; Metazoa; Chordata; Actinopteri; Cypriniformes; Xenocyprididae
Exons: 4
Source: RefSeq, a predicted model, not a curated record